Molecule: ribosomal RNA, 468 nt
Filed under: uncultured bacterium
Lineage: Bacteria
Description: partial 16S ribosomal RNA
Rfam family: Bacterial small subunit ribosomal RNA
Source: RNAcentral
GACGAACGCUGGCGGCGUGCUUAACACAUGCAAGUCGAACGGAAAGGCCCUGCUUUUGUGGGGUGCUCGAGUGGCGAACGGGUGAGUAGCACGUGAGUAACCUGCCCUUGACUUUGGGAUAACUUCAGGAAACUGGGGCUAAUACCGGAUAGGAGCUCCUGCUGCAGGGUGGGGGUUGGAAAGUUUCGGCGGUUGGGGAUGGACUCGCGGCUUAUCAGCUUGUUGGUGGGGUAGUGGCUUACCAAGGCUUUGACGGGUAGCCGGCCUGGGAGGGUGACCGGCCACAUUGGGACUGAGCUACGGCCCAGACUCCUACGGGAGGCAGCAGUGGGGAAUAUUGCACAGUGGGCGGAAGCCUGAUGCAGCAACGCCGCGUGCGGGAUGACGGCCUUCGGGUUGUAAACCGCUUUCGCCUGUGACGAAGCGUGAGUGACGGUAAUGGGUAAAGAAGCACCGGCUAACUACGUG